RNAcentral lists this ribosomal RNA (228 nucleotides) under uncultured bacterium. RNAcentral's name for it is "partial 16S ribosomal RNA". It matches the Rfam family "Bacterial small subunit ribosomal RNA", at positions 568 to 795 of the family's 1533-position model. The record is from RNAcentral.
UGCGUAGGCGGAAUAUUAAGUCAGUGGUGAAAUCCCAGAGCUCAACUCUGGAACUGCCAUUGAAACUGGUAUUCUUGAAUAUAGUUGAGGUAGGCGGAAUGUGUAAUGUAGCGGUGAAAUGCUUAGAUAUUACACAGAACACCGAUUGCGAAGGCAGCUUACUAAACUAUGAUUGACGCUGAUGCACGAAAGCGUGGGGAGCGAACAGGAUUAGAUACCCUGGUAGUC